CCUACGGGGGGCAGCAGUGAGGGAUAUUGGUCAAUGGGGGAAACCCUGAACCAGCAACGCCGCGUGAGGGAAGACGGUUUUCGGAUUGUAAACCUCUGUCCUCUGUGAAGAUGAUGACGGUAGCAGAGGAGGGAGCGCCGGCUAACUACGUGCCAGCAGCCGCGGUAAUACGUAGGGAGCAAGCGUUGUCCGGAUUUAUUGGGUUAAAAGGGUGCGCAGGCGGGCUGUUAAGGCAGCGGUAAAAGCCCGGGGCUCAACCCCGGCCAGCCGUUGAAACUGGCAGUCUCGAGUUGGCGAGAAGUAUGCGGAAUGCGCGGUGUAGCGGUGAAAUGCAUAGAUAUCGCGCAGAACUCCGAUUGCGAAGGCAGCAUGCCGGCUCCACACUGACGCUGAGGCACGAAAGCGUGGGUAUCGAACAGGAUUAGAUACCCCAGUAGUC
This 439-nucleotide ribosomal RNA is filed under the name uncultured bacterium. RNAcentral describes it as "partial 16S ribosomal RNA". It matches the Rfam family "Bacterial small subunit ribosomal RNA", at positions 338 to 795 of the family's 1533-position model. The record is from RNAcentral.